CAUCAGUUUAAUAUCUGAUAUGGCCUCCAUCCGAGGACAAUACAUUAAAUAGAUUUUUGGAGCUGUAAGAUGGAAUAGAAGCUUGCUCUAUUCACUCCACACACUGACCUGAUAUUGUAGUACCUCCAGAGCGGGGU
RNAcentral lists this small nuclear RNA (137 nucleotides) under Fukomys damarensis (Damara mole-rat). Its description in RNAcentral is "U2 spliceosomal RNA (ENSFDAG00000014524.1)". It matches the Rfam family "U2 spliceosomal RNA", at positions 47 to 185 of the family's 192-position model. Rfam says of the family: U2 is a small nuclear RNA (snRNA) component of the spliceosome (involved in pre-mRNA splicing). Complementary binding between U2 snRNA (in an area lying towards the 5' end but 3' to hairpin I) and the branchpoint sequence (BPS) of the intron results the bulging out of an unpaired adenosine, on the BPS, which initiates a nucleophilic attack at the intronic 5' splice site, thus starting the first of two transesterification reactions that mediate splicing. Lineage: Eukaryota; Metazoa; Chordata; Mammalia; Rodentia; Bathyergidae. The record is from RNAcentral.